This 31-nucleotide non-coding RNA is filed under the name Mus musculus (house mouse). Lineage: Eukaryota; Metazoa; Chordata; Mammalia; Rodentia; Muridae. The record is from RNAcentral.
UCGUCCUAUUGAGAGAGCAGCUAUCUGUACU